AUCGUUCAAUUUGCCUAAGGCAAAUCGGAAGUAGGUUAAAACCGAAGGAACGCGGA
Molecule: non-coding RNA, 56 nt
Submitted as: unclassified sequences
Source: Rfam